CCACAAUCUUCGCCCUCACCACCGCCACCCUCGACACCAUCCUCCCCAUCACCACCUUCAACAUCAACCUCUCCACCGCCACCUUCAACAACGACCUCUCCACCGCCACCUUCAACAACAACCUCUCCACCGCCACCUUCAACAACAACCUCUCCACCACCACCUUCAACAACAACCUCUCCACCACCACCUUCAACAACAUCACCAUCACCACCUCCCCCCGAGGGAUCCACUCCCUCUCCUCCUCCACCUGAAGCUUCACCUUCCCCUCCUGAAUUGUCACCUCCGCCACCACCAGCAGCGGAAGGUGGUUCUCCACCUCCUCCAUCCAAUCCUAGACCUCCAUCUUCAACUCCUUCUCCCCCUCCCCCCGAAACGAUUUCACCUCCUCCAUCUCCACCAACUAAUGUCCCAAC
RNAcentral lists this long non-coding RNA (416 nucleotides) under Cucumis sativus (cucumber). Its description in RNAcentral is "long non-coding RNA (CSAT_LNC002142)". Lineage: Eukaryota; Viridiplantae; Streptophyta; Magnoliopsida; Cucurbitales; Cucurbitaceae. The record is from RNAcentral.